AGGCAGCUGUCAGGCAGGAAAACCAAACACCACGGGUUCAAAUCUGCUCACAUAUCGCCAUUCAAUCAAAGGCGUGCUGUAUACUGCACCUCUGUUUAAUGUUGUUUGCCCAAUUAUUGUACCUGUUUUUUUACAUUUUAUUUAGAAUGUCCCAUUAUGUUCCCUGAUUACAGCUACUCCCUACAACAGCCCAGCAGAACUGAAGGUCAGUGAGUGUCCUCCGAUCCCCAAGCCAAUCCCCUCUUCACACCCAGCUAGCAGCCCCUGGAGGACAAAGGCCAGCCCUGCCGGUGUCUGCUUUGAGCUCACCUCUCCCUGCUGAUUUUACCUUCCUAACCCACAUGGGCACCAGAGCCAAUAAAACGCUCUGGAACCCCCAGUGAAGACCAGCAACCUGGCACAGCCAGGACACAAAGCUCAAUCCCCUGACUGUAUGACUAACCCUGAACAUCACACAGCUUUAUCAGAUCGCCUCGUGGUCAUCUAUUCAGGUGUCACGUUAGGGUCUCAUACACUCGCCAGACCCUGUGGUUGUCUCUUAAGAAGCAUUCCGUUUCCUUACCAACCAGAAGCCCUCCAUUUGAUGCUCCGUUGAUGGCGACUUUACUGGCCGUGGUGUAUUUCUCAUGGAUCAGAUAUUCAGCAGCACACUGGAAAUCAUCAAAACUGUUCUGUUUGUUACCCAGGCAACCACCUAGAGAGGGUGUCAGUCAGGGAAAUCAGGGUCAAACACCAGCAGUCAUAUUCAAAAGAAAUAGGAAUGUGUCUUCAUUGUGUGUGCAGCAUGAUUUUGUUUGGGGGUAUUUGUGCGCCUUUGACGAGAGUCUUGUCAUUUCUACUCUAAUUGUCUCGUCAUUAAAAUAUUGUUAUAGGGUUUACAGGGUGAAACAAAAAAUACUGUGGUCUCCCAGUCUUUAUCUGGCCACGUGGGGUCCUGUUUUGAUCUUGUUGGAUGUCUGAAGUGACUAAGAACAUGUGACACCUAUAAUGCCUGUUUUCAGCUGCAUACCUUUGUGCCAGGUCUGCCCGUACUCUCCUCCCCCGCGGAUGUUGGUGACGGCCAGGAUCCCACCCAGGUGUCUCACGAACAGCAGGUAGGCAACGCUGUAAAACAGCACAGGUGAGGGGUCACUGCUGACAAUACAGAGGCAGCAGCUGAAUGCAUAAGGUAGGUAAAUCUCUUGUCAGAAAGUCAGUAUGAGAUUAAAAUCUAAACACAUAUUAUACACUUUUAACAUGUAGCAGAUCCUACUUUUGAAGAAGGGGCGAUUAUCUAUACAGUAAACGGGGUCUGAGUGGGGUAAUGGAAAAAGUUUCUCCAGUAGACAUUAAUCCACAUCUCAUAGACUUGGCUGUACAGAUAAAUCGGUUUUUCCAAGUAAUUCCCUUUAACAGGAUUUGUGUCGGCCAGUAUGAAAUGAACCCAUGUGAAGGUCUCAGUUAGCACUCCUUCGAUAAGUUGCACGGUGGGGGAACUCGGAUCCACAGAUCUUUAAGGCUUGGCUGUGGAACUGACUUGUAGUAGGGCUGGAUGGAGGCUUCGAAUCCCCCGUAGCCGUACAGGAAGACUGGGUGGGAGCUGUCGAGCGUGAUCCCUGUCGCGUGCACCAGGAACAUGGGGACCUUCGUCCCGUCUCUGCUGGGGUAGAACACCUGGAACACAGAUAAUCGGGUCACUCCGUGUCCGGGGCACCCAAAUGCAGAAAGUUACAAUUGAAAACGUUUUAACCUCCCCGCUUUAAUGAUGUAUUCGUCUCAUUUGAGAUCUAUGUUUGGGUAGGAACUGGGCUUCAGCAGGGAAGCACUAGUUGAAAGUGUUCAGUGUUACCUGGACAGUCUGGUAGUCCGAGGGGUCGAAGCCCUUCACCUCCACCUGUCUGAACACUGUGGGCUCCGGAGUCUCUGAGGUCAGGUCACAGUGGUAGAUUAUUCCUAUAAAAACACACAGCAGGAGUACUUUACAUUGUGCACCUCUAUGUGGGCCAGCCCUUAUAAGAGUUUGGUGCUUUUGCAGCUUUACCAUGCGUUUCCCCAUAGAUCUACAAUGCAUUUACCAGAAUUUACCUUGUUUAUUAAUAUACUUCACCUUACCUCUCUGGUCUUCACAAUGCUUCCCUAUGCUUUCACUAUAUUGCAGCAGUUUAUCAAUAGCGUUGUAAUUGAAAUAUCUGAUUAUCCUCAAUUAAAAGUUCUCAGCACAAUUAAAGAAUGACCAGUAAUACCCUUAAGCAAACAUGGGCAAAGAUAUUGGAUUUGAAACCUUGGUUAGGACUUCUUUAGGAGACUAGUUUCUAGUUUUGUAAAAUGAAACAUUGCUUUUUAAAAUAAAACCAUGGGAGUUAUUUCGGGACUCUUGCCCGGCCUUCCUCCGUGUGUUCAGUACCUGGAGUGGUGAAGGAGUUGAACUGAUAGAAGAAGUCUGCGUGUUUCUUUCUGCUGCUCACCCCCACCACAGUGCCCACAGCCAGGGGCAGGGUCCUGAGGAACUCGCCUGUUCUCAGCUGGUGCAGCUGCAGCACGUCUUUCACGUCGUGCAGGUAGUUCACCAGCAGGAAGCUGUAAUUCACACAGGCCACGAAGCCUGCCACCGAAACCACAGCGCUGCGUUAGAAUGCUAAGUACUUCUCAGUGAUUCAUUAAUCCAUUCAGUACCGAAUGAAUUGUUCUUUGAAAAAAUCACAACACAAGCUGUAUUUAUGUAAUUUGAUACAUUCUAAAUCAAUCAUUCUGGCUACAAACUGCUGCGUCGUAUGUUGAGGACAGUCAUAGAUGUGUCUGUAAUCAGAGCAGUGAAAAUUCACACUGGCUAUGAAGCUCAACACAGAGAACAAGGAGCUUUAUCAUCACAGUUAAAAAUGCUUCACUUUUUUUUUUUUAAAUGAGCCGUCCUCAAAUGAGUAUAACGGAACUAUCAAGCUGAAUUGUUAAAAAAAACAAACAAAAAAAAAAAAACGAUACAGGUAUUUUCUGAACAAGUAGUUCUAAAUUAUUUUAAAUUAUUAAAUAACUUUUUUGAAUUACUUAUAGAAAUGCAUACAAAUAAAAAAGACAGCACGUAUCACCUGUGCAGUUUGGAAGCACGUUAAAACAAACAUGUAUUUUCAUUAAAAAAAAAAAAAAAGAUAUGAGGUCCUAGAGGUGUCCAAUCACGGUCCUGGAGGGCCAUUCCAAUCCAGGUUUUACAUGUAAAAUGAGAUAAUUAGCUACUUCAGGGUCUGGAUGGAGGUUGAAUUGGUUCAAAACAAGUUCGUAGAGGGUUGAAACAAAGACCAGGAGUGGAAAUGCUGACUUUGGCCACCCAAAGAUCUGUCAGCAUGUCUUACUUUCAGUAGUCACUGUUUCACUUCCUAGAUCAUUGCACCCCAGCCAUGACUAGAGCAUGUGACCUGCUAUAAAAUAUUCAUUCAUUAGAGGACACAGAUGGCAGGCUAAUGACAGGAAAGAAAGCUGCAGGGAGGGGAGAAUUGCACUCUGCUGGUGAAUAGAUGAAGAAGAGCUUCUUAAAUAUGGUACCAGAAAUAUAUAUUUUAUAAUGAAACAGAUCAGAACCUUUUUUUGGCUAAACCAGCCAUUCCUAAUACCUGGCUCUUACAGAGCCAUACAGAAAUAUCACCAAGGGGGGAAAAAAAUGGACUAAAAAGCUGGCGAACUGGUAGACUCUAGAUCGAGGGAACACAAAGCCACUUUGUGGCUUGGAACUUGGUUUCAGGAGACUGGGUUUCAGGCCACUGCAUGGGACACCAGGGGAAACUUGGGAUUUGAUAGAGUAAAGUUGCCUUAGACUGUGUUUCCCUGUCUCUUAGAGCCAGAUUUCAAGCCAUUAUUCCUAAAAAAAGUGGCUUUGUGUUCCUUCAGGUACAUUUUUACUGUACUUGCAUUUACUUAAGACUAUAGAUUGCCAGAUUGAACGAGAUCCUUCAAAAGAACCAUAUUGUGGAGCCGUGAAAUAGGUAUUUUCUGUACCACUCAUAGUGAAUGGGCGGGCGUGACAGGUAAGAGUCAUUUCAUUAGCUGGAAGCUAUAUUCCCUGUGCAUGUAUCCAGGUGAAAGGCCAGGAAGUCUCUCUUACCCAGGACAUCUUUCUCGUGCUCUGGGAUCAGUGUUGUCCACAGAGAGGGGUCUGGACUCUGCAGGUCAAUGUUGAUGAGACGGUAUCGAGGAGCGAGCAGGUUGGUGCGGAAGGUGAAGGCACUGCCCUCAUUGGUCACGUAGGAGUACUGAGCCUCAAAAUUAUCAAUGAGCUUCACCCACGGCAGAAUCCCUUUAAGAAUGUGAGAGAGGAACGAGAACUGAGAUGCUAUUGGUUUCAUACUCUCUCCCACUAACAAGAUAUACUGUAAUACCACAUCAACAACAAUGCACAUUUCACAAGGAUCCCAAAGCGCUUCACACACGCAAAUGAACAAUUAAACAGUUACAUUCAAAACAGAUUUUGAGUUAAAAAUGUGGUUUUAAUUGUUAACCAGUAAUGCCGCCGCUCAGCUGCUGCAGGUCACAGUACCACAGCCGAUUCACCGGCUCGCAUCCCUCUGUUAUGGACAGCAGCACGUACCGCCCGUCGUCCGACACCUAGGAUCAUUAUAGAUGGAGAUGAGUGCAUUUACAGAACCGCAAAUCAUGUUUAUCCAGAGAAAUCGCUUGGAAUGGAAAAACUGUUCAGAUUUCUUUGAAGGAUGUCUUUCGGCUCACCGUCGCGCUACUGUGCCACUUGGGGUGAUCAGGAAACUCUGCGACCAGGAUGUCCUCGGAUUGGCUGGUUCCGAUCACAUGGUAGAAGAGCUUUUGAUUGAUAUUGGUGGUGGUCUCAGUGCCUGUUCACAGAAUACAGAGGUAAAAGGAUUGACCAAUUCAAAGAUACAGGAUUUUUUAAUUUUUUUUUUUAUAGUUAUAGUUUUAAAAAAGUUAUGUAUUUAUUUAUCAAGACAAAUCUAAAACCAUUUUCUACCAUUUAUUAUGAAAUGUCUACAGAAGUAAUCAAUAAAUGUGGCCCUGACUUAGGGUCCUAGUGAUAAUACUGCUAAGAAAAGGUUUGAUUUGCCCUCCUUUGAAUUGGGACAAGUGAUAAUGAUGCUAGUGCUAAAAGGAGGUGAAUUGUAACGCCUUGUUCAUCAUGGCUGGAGUACCGUCGGCUUUGCCCUCCUGCCGGGGGUAGCAGUUGUAGAAGACUCCUCUGUCAUCGUGAGUCCAGGACAGGCAGCUGAAUUUCACCCUCUCCAGAGUGUCGGGCAGCUCCUUCUGAUCCGCCACCGUCAUGAACUUCACAGU
This is a long non-coding RNA of Acipenser ruthenus (sterlet), 5265 nucleotides long. RefSeq lists it as uncharacterized. The transcript is spliced from 2 exons. The record is from RefSeq and is a predicted model, not a curated record. Lineage: Eukaryota; Metazoa; Chordata; Actinopteri; Acipenseriformes; Acipenseridae.